CUUCCAUCUGGAAGAAAUCUGGAGACAGGUGCUGCAUGGCUGUCGUCAGCUCGUGUCGUGAGAUGUUGGGUUAAGUCCCGCAACGAGCGCAACCCUUGCCUUUAGUUGCCAGCAGUUCGGCUGGGCACUCUAAAGGGACUGCCGGUGUUAAACCGGAGGAAGGUGGGGAUGACGUCAAGUCCUCAUGGCCUUUAUGACCAGGGCUACACACGUACUACAAUGGCCGAUACAAAGGGCAGCGACACUGCGAGGUGAAGCCAAUCCCGUAAAAUCGGUCUCAGUCCGGAUUGGAGUCUGCAACUCGACUCCAUGAAGUUGGAAUCGCUAGUAAUCGUGGAUCAGCAUGCCACGGUGAAUACGUUCCCGGGCCUU
RNAcentral lists this ribosomal RNA (372 nucleotides) under uncultured Desulfobulbus sp. Its description in RNAcentral is "bacterial SSU rRNA". It matches the Rfam family "Bacterial small subunit ribosomal RNA", at positions 1014 to 1382 of the family's 1533-position model. The record is from RNAcentral. Lineage: Bacteria; Pseudomonadati; Thermodesulfobacteriota; Desulfobulbia; Desulfobulbales; Desulfobulbaceae.